Molecule: long non-coding RNA, 667 nt
Filed under: Homo sapiens (human)
Lineage: Eukaryota; Metazoa; Chordata; Mammalia; Primates; Hominidae
Description: long intergenic non-protein coding RNA 2501
Source: RNAcentral
AGGGCUGGGGCAAAGUGCUCCAGAAGGCUGUGUAUGCUCUGAAUCAGUGGCCGAUAUAUGGUACUGUUUCUCCCAUAGCCAAGAUUCAGGAGUCCAGGAAUCAAGGGGUGGAAAUGGAAGUGGCACGACUCACCAACACCCCUAGAGAUCCACUGGCAAAAUUUUUGCUUCCUGUUCCCAUGACAUUAUAUUUUGCUGGCCUAAAGGUCUUAGUUCCAGAGGGAGAAACACUGCCGCCAGGAGACACAACAACGAUUCCAUUCAAUUAGAAGUUAAGAUUGCCACUUGGACACUUUGGGCUUCUCCUACCUUGAAGUCAACAGGCUAAGAAGAGAGUUACUUGGCUGGGGCGAUUGACCCAGAUUAUCAAGAUGAAAUCAGUCUACUACUCCACAACUGAGGAAGCCAAGCCACACUGCUAACUGAUGAGAGACCAGCUUGAAAGAGGGAGGACCUGCCAAUUGCCAUCAGCACAACUCCAGAUAUAUGGGAGUCAGGCUUUAGGGCAAAAACCGGGGAUCACAGAAUGCUUGCUCAAUCAACUUUGCUCAUCCAAAAUCACAAAAAUCGCCUCAAAAAAUGUUGAUGAUAAUUUAAUUUUCUUCACUCUCCAUGAAGAUGUUAGAUAAUGCUCACUCUGGGUGAGAAUAAAAGCCAGACUCAUCAA